Myripristis murdjan (pinecone soldierfish) is the source of this 93-nucleotide long non-coding RNA. RefSeq lists it as uncharacterized. The record is from RefSeq and is a predicted model, not a curated record. The transcript has 3 exons. Lineage: Eukaryota; Metazoa; Chordata; Actinopteri; Holocentriformes; Holocentridae.
CACAAAAUGACAGGGGCUCAAGUCACAGCUCUCCAGUGUGCAAUGUGCUGUCAUUCUCACGUCUGUGUUUACUGACUAGAAAUACAAAAAAAA